Rosa chinensis is the source of this 757-nucleotide long non-coding RNA. RefSeq lists it as uncharacterized. The transcript has 3 exons. The record is from RefSeq and is a predicted model, not a curated record. NCBI's taxonomy places the organism in Eukaryota, Viridiplantae, Streptophyta, Magnoliopsida, Rosales, Rosaceae.
AGUUGGAUUUUUGUACUUUUUUUGGAUUGGAUCUUUUCUUUAGUGUUGGCAGAGAUGUUAUAUAUUACUUUUUUUUGUUUUUGGCAGUCAAUCGAAGAGAUAAGUUUUGCAGCAGAAUCUCAGCCAAAACAAGUUGGAUUUUUUUAAUUCCUAAUGUUGUUUCCGCAAUCUGUUUUUGUGAUGUGAUGUGUGAGGCACAAAUUUAUUUGCGAUUGGUCUUUCAACAAUCUUGAGAAUUUACGACGCUGUAGCACUAUUUUAGCUUUGAAGGAUCCAAUCUUCUGAUCAACAAAAGUAACUGCUGCUAAGAUGACAGUAAACGAAAUAUGAUUUAUACCUUUCAAUUAUGACAUGGUUGAGACAUUCCAAAGCAUCUUAUCAGAGGAGUUAUUAACUCAUUAUAAUGGUUGGUUUGCUCCAUUAUUGUCACUGCAGGGAAUGCCCUGAGGAAUGUAAGGAAGCUAUUGCACCACUAAUGCAUGCUGCAGCUAGAUUUUCUGGUUUACCAAAGUACAUUGUUUGACAUUAGGCAACUAUUUCAAGAGAGAGAUGCGAACUGUCUAACUCAUUGUGUAGAUCAAAAGUUUUUCAUGUGCUCUACUGCAUCACAACCUUGGCUUUGGGAAGGCACAAGCAGAAAGGCUUAGGUACGCAACGGAUACUUCUGGAGCCAGUCAUCAGUUUUCGUUUGGAUUGUACGUAAAGCACAACAUUGAAGUUGAGCUUUAUUGUAUUGUUAAUAGGAAUUUCCGCUUGC